UACGUAGGGGGCAAGCGUUGUCCGGAUUUAUGGGCGUAAAGAGCGUGUAGGCGGCCAGGUAGGUCCGCUGUGAAAACUCGAGGCUCAACCUCGAGAUGUCGGCGGAAACCAUCUGGCUAGAGUCCGGAAGAGGAGAGUGGAAUUCCUGGUGUAGCGGUGAAAUGCGCAGAUAUCAGGAAGAACACCCGUGGCGAAGGCGGCUCUCUGGGACGGUACUGACGCUGAGACGCGAAAGCGUGGGGAGCGAACAGG
RNAcentral lists this ribosomal RNA (252 nucleotides) under uncultured bacterium. RNAcentral's name for it is "partial 16S ribosomal RNA". It matches the Rfam family "Bacterial small subunit ribosomal RNA", at positions 524 to 776 of the family's 1533-position model. The record is from RNAcentral.